Molecule: non-coding RNA, 113 nt
Organism: Acanthosepion pharaonis
Lineage: Eukaryota; Metazoa; Mollusca; Cephalopoda; Sepiida; Sepiidae
Source: the annotation of a GenBank genome assembly
UUAUGGCCAUACCAUGUUGAAACACCAGUUUCCAUAUGAUCACCAGAGUUAAGCAACUUUGAGUCUGGUCAGUACCUAGAUGGAUGAUCGCUUGUAAAUACCAGGUGCUGUAA